This 2304-nucleotide long non-coding RNA is filed under the name Citrus x clementina. RNAcentral describes it as "Citrus clementina (C. clementina) long non-coding RNA (CCLE_LNC003971)". The record is from RNAcentral. Lineage: Eukaryota; Viridiplantae; Streptophyta; Magnoliopsida; Sapindales; Rutaceae.
CGAAACCUAUACUCGGAUAUCUUUCAUUUUAAUAUUAAUUUUUUAAUAAAUUUUAAUAUAAAUAGAAAAGACAGAACGGAAAAUAUAAUGUGCACAAUCGGCCCUAAUUUUGCAAUUCACAUUCCUCUUCUCAAUCUCACAUCCACCGGUCGCCAACCAGAUUUCCUUUUCUCUUCAUCAAAUCAAAUCAUCGUCGUCAUCGCUUCAGCCAUUUUCUUUUCUCUAUGUUCAUUAUUAUCAUCAUCAUCAUCAGUCGCUGUGUUCCUCUUCUUAGCGCUGCUGCGACCUCCAACCCUUCUCAAUCGUUCAUCUUCAACUGGUGCAAAAUUGAGUGGAUUACCUUCCACCUCUAAGCCCGUCUCUGCUUCUCAUUUGUCAUAUUCCAUGGUUCCUGUGGAGCUAGGUGGGGGUUGUCUUUGAUGGCAUUGCAUGGUGGAUUUGGGUGGGCCGCGGUCUUUGAUGCCAUUACAAUUCAAAAUUAAUUGUAAUUUUCGUGCAUCCACUUCCUAUAAUAGGUUAUUAAUUUAUUGAAUUUUGUUGGUAGUAUUUGCAACGCCUCUAUAUUAGGGUCUAUAAGCUACCUGCCUGAAUUUCAUUAACUAAGAAAAAAAAAUGGUUCAUCGGUUUUAAUUUGUGAUUGAAUUGUAGUGUCCAAUUUUUUUUUCAUUUUUUAAUCAUAAUUCAAAAGACAAUCCGAGCUUCAAACCUGAAAUCCGAAAACAUGAAUUUUUUCGGGUUGAAUCCAAACCAGACGCAAAAAUGAGGUUUAUAUCGGGAUCCAGUAUAAGAAAAUGACAUCUGAGUUCGGAACCCGAAAGGCUAAUCCCAGAUCCAGACUCGGCUUUUGCCAUCCCUAGUUAUAACCAGCUGACCACUGCCACAUUACCACAUCACUAAGAGUUCUGCUAUCUAGCCAUAAGAAAGAAAGGACGGUAGAAACGGCAGCAUGUGCUACCGUUUCACGCGUCCUUCUUACUCUUCCCCAUGGCCCACAAAUACAUUAAAAUAAUGAUUAAAAAAUGGCGCAAAAAUAAUGCUUGCGUUCAAUGAAAUAAACAAUGGCCCGUAAUAAAGUUUAGACUAAUGAUUAAAAAUAGAGGUAUUUGUUCGAUAGCACUCAGCUCUGCUAUACUCGUGGAGUUGUUCCACAGUUGAAAAAAAAAUAAUGUGGUCAUUUCUUUUUCUCAAGCACUGGAACUCUGAUUUUGAUAGCAAAAAAUAAAAUAAAAUAAAACCAGCAGCUUACUAUUUGAAAGCUGAGAAAUCUGCAUUCGAUGCCGACGAGAUUGGUGUUUGGUGCUGACGACCACCAUGCCAACAGAGGCAGCUUUGCAGUUGAUACAUAUAAGUGGCACAAAUUGGUCAUUGACCACUGAGAAGGCAAGGAAUGGAAAUUGUUCAGGUUUCUUUACAGCUGUGGAAUUAAGCAUUCAGACUCUAUUUGAGACAACAAAAACCAUAUUGCAACUUUGGGUUAACAGAAUUAAUUUGUCUACAACACUGACAAUAAGAAACUCGGAUCUUUCUACAUCCUCAUCAGUUCUCUCCCUAAUUACUACAACUUGCACUAAGACUUGAUGAAUGAGUACAAAUCGUCCUGUAACUAUCCAUAUCAAUAGCAGGGCAUUGAUUAGACGUGUCCAGAAAAUCUUCUUUAACUACAUAUUAGAACCUAUUUAACUAUCAGAACCACAUCAACAACAUCAUUGUUGACUGCAAGGUUGUGGGCUUUGUUCUAUUUUUUUCGAUAAGAGAUCGUUGAAAAUGGUCGAUGUUGUGGUGGCAGUCAAAGGAAAAGAUAAUGUUUGGUUGAAAGAGAGAUAACGAGGCCGCAAGAGUGAGGGAGCAAGAGGGACCUCUGAGACCUCUCAUUGUUGCUGCGUGGUGAGGGAGAACGAAGUUGAGACUGACCUUGCGUUGAGACAGGAGAGAGAGAUCGAGAAUCUUGUUGCCUGGUGAGAGAGACGCGUGAGAUUUUUACUGGAUUUUUGCGUGCGUGUGUGGUGUUUGCACAUAUGAACAUGUGGCUUUUAUACGGAAAGUUUUGUGUUCUCCUUUGUGUUAAUACCAUUUUCCUUUUUUAAGUAUUAUUUUAAUAUUUUAAACGCCAAAUGGUAGAGUGAGAAGGACGUGUGAAAUGACAGCAUGAGCCGUUGUUUCUGUCUUCCUUCUCACUUCUUUUUAUUCGUUUACCAUUUUUCACAUCACUAAUGGCUAAAUAAACGCAGACUAUUUACAACAAUUGGAUGUUCUUAAAUGCAAGAACAUAAGACUUCGAAAAGCACUUCUUGCCUUGGAUAAAAU